This 120-nucleotide microRNA precursor is filed under the name Ictidomys tridecemlineatus (thirteen-lined ground squirrel). RNAcentral's name for it is "miRNA (ENSSTOG00000032571.1)". Lineage: Eukaryota; Metazoa; Chordata; Mammalia; Rodentia; Sciuridae. The record is from RNAcentral.
CUUCACCAUCGAGUCUGAGGCUGAGGCUCAUCAGCAGCAGCUUCGCUUUGGCUCUGACGGCUGUCUGCGGAGCUUGAAGCCCUUACCGCCAGAUGGCGGGUUGGCGUCAGUGGAUGGAAU